RNAcentral lists this ribosomal RNA (495 nucleotides) under uncultured bacterium. RNAcentral describes it as "partial 16S ribosomal RNA". It matches the Rfam family "Bacterial small subunit ribosomal RNA", at positions 30 to 507 of the family's 1533-position model. The record is from RNAcentral.
UGAACGCUGGCGGCGUGCCUAAUACAUGCAAGUCGAGCGAACAGACGAGGAGCUUGCUCCUCUGACGUUAGCGGCGGACGGGUGAGUAACACGUGGAUAACCUACCUAUAAGACUGGGAUAACUUCGGGAAACCGGAGCUAAUACCGGAUAAUAUAUUGAACCGCAUGGUUCAAUAGUGAAAGACGGUUUUGCUGUCACUUAUAGAUGGAUCCGCGCCGCAUUAGCUAGUUGGUAAGGUAACGGCUUACCAAGGCAACGAUGCGUAGCCGACCUGAGAGGAUGAUCGGCCACACUGGAACUGAGACACGGUCCAGACUCCUAUGGGAGGCAGCAGUAGGGAAUCUUCCGCAAUGGGCGAAAGCCUGACGGAGCAACGCCGCGUGAGUGAUGAAGGUCUUCGGAUCGUAAAACUCUGUUAUUAGGGAAGAACAAAUGUGUAAGUAACUAUGCACGUCUUGACGGUACCUAAUCAGAAAGCCACGGCUAACUACGUG